Long non-coding RNA from Melanotaenia boesemani (Boeseman's rainbowfish), 178 nucleotides. RefSeq lists it as uncharacterized. The transcript is spliced from 3 exons. The record is from RefSeq and is a predicted model, not a curated record. Lineage: Eukaryota; Metazoa; Chordata; Actinopteri; Atheriniformes; Melanotaeniidae.
GCUCCACUGUGGUCAUAAAGGGAUGGACAUGGUCAGCAACAAUACUCAGGUAGGCUGUGGUGGUGAAACCAGGCCACAUUGGGACUAAGGGGCCAAAAGUGGGUCAAAAAAAAUCCUCCACACCAUUACACCACCAGCAGCCUGAAGCGUUGAUCCAAUGCAGGAUGGAUCCAUGUUU